CGUAGCUACCUGCAGUCGACGGCAGCACCAGGAGAGCUUGCUCUCUGGGUGGCGAGUGGCGGACGGGUGAGGAAUACAUCGGAAUCUACUCUGUCGUGGGGGAUAACGUAGGGAAACUUACGCUAAUACCGCAUACGACCUACGGGUGAAAGCAGGGGACCUUCGGGCCUUGCGCGAUUGAAUGAGCCGAUGUCGGAUUAGCUAGUUGGCGGGGUAAAGGCCCACCAAGGCGACGAUCCGUAGCUGGUCUGAGAGGAUGAUCAGCCACACUGGAACUGAGACACGGUCCAGACUCCUACGGGAGGCAGCAGUGGGGAAUAUUGGACAAUGGGCGCAAGCCUGAUCCAGCCAUACCGCGUGGGUGAAGAAGGCCUUCGGGUUGUAAAGCCCUUUUGUUGGGAAAGAAAUCCAGCUGGCUAAUACCCGGUUGGGAUGACGGUACCCAAAGAAUAAGCACCGGCUAACUUCGUGCCAGCAGCCGCGGUAAUACGAAGGGUGCAAGCGUUACUCGGAAUUACUGGGCGUAAAGCGUGCGUAGGUGGUCGUUUAAGUCCGUUGUGAAAGCCCUGGGCUCAACCUGGGAACUGCAGUGGAUACUGGGCGACUAGAAUGUGGUAGAGGGUAGCGGAAUUCCUGGUGUAGCAGUGAAAUGCGUAGAGAUCAGGAGGAACAUCCAUGGCGAAGGCAGCUACCUGGACCAACAUUGACACUGAGGCACGAAAGCGUGGGGAGCAAACAGGAUUAGAUACCCUGGUAGUCCACGCCCUAAACGAUGCGAACUGGAUGUUGGGUGCAAUUUGGCACGCAGUAUCGAAGCUAACGCGUUAAGUUCGCCGCCUGGGGAGUACGGUCGCAAGACUGAAACUCAAAGGAAUUGACGGGGGCCCGCACAACCGGUGGAGUAUGUGGUUUAUUCAAUGCACCGCGAGAACCUUACCUGGCCUUGCAUGUCGAAACUUUCCAAAAUGGAUUGGUGCCUCCGAAACUCGAACCAGGGGCUGCAUGCUGUCCCCGCUCCGUCGGGAAUGUUGGUUAAUUCCGCACAAGCCACCCUUGCCUUAGUGCCCCGCUUAUGGGUGGACUCUUAGGAAACC
Molecule: ribosomal RNA, 1094 nt
Filed under: Stenotrophomonas sp.
Lineage: Bacteria; Pseudomonadati; Pseudomonadota; Gammaproteobacteria; Lysobacterales; Lysobacteraceae
Description: bacterial SSU rRNA
Rfam family: Bacterial small subunit ribosomal RNA
Source: RNAcentral